GCGCAGCAGGCGAGAAAACUCCGCAAUGCUCGAAAGAGUGACGGGGGAUUCCAAGUGCCUACGCUUAGCGUAGGCUGUUCAGAUGCCUAAAAAGCAUCUGGAGUAAGGGCUGGGUAAGACGGGUGCCAUCUGCAGUGGUAAUGAAAAACUUGCUACUGCAAGGCAUAAGCCGCCGCGGUAAUACCCGCAGCCCGAGUGGUAGUCGCUUUUAUUGGGCCUUAAAGCGUCCGUAGCCGGUCUGGUAAAUGCCUGGGUAAAUCGUGGGGCCUAACCUCACGAACUCCGGGUAGACUGCCAGACUUGGGACCGGUUGAGGGAGAGGGUACUCCAGGGGUAGGGGUGAAAUCCUGUAAUCCUUGGAGGACCACCGGUGGCGAAAGCGCUCUCCGUAGGACGGUCGACGGUGAGGGGACGAAA
RNAcentral lists this ribosomal RNA (417 nucleotides) under uncultured microorganism. Its description in RNAcentral is "bacterial SSU rRNA". It matches the Rfam family "Archaeal small subunit ribosomal RNA", at positions 330 to 709 of the family's 1478-position model. The record is from RNAcentral.